GAUGAACGCUGGCGGCGUGCCUAAUACAUGCAAGUCGAGCGAACAGACGAGGAGCUUGCUCCUCUGACGUUAGCGGCGGACGGGUGAGUAACACGUGGAUAACCUACCUAUAAGACUAGGAUAACUUCGGGAAACCGGAGCUAAUACCGGAUAAUAUAUUGAACCGCAUGGUUCAAUAGUGAAAGACGGUUUUGCUGCCACUUAUAGAUGGAUCCGCGCCGCAUUAGCUAGUUGGUAAGGUAACGGCUUACCAAGGCAACGAUGCGUAGCCGACCUGAGAGGGUGAUCGGCCACACUGGAACUGAGACACGGUCCAGACUCCUACGGGAGGCAGCAGUAGGGAAUCUUCCGCAAUGGGCGAAAGCUUGACGGAGCAACGCCGCGUGAGUGAUGAAGGUCUUCGGAUCGUAAAACUCCGUUAUUAGGGAAGAACAAAUGUGUAAGUAACUAUGCACGUCUUGACGGUACCUAAUCAGAAAGCCACGGCUAACUACGUG
RNAcentral lists this ribosomal RNA (497 nucleotides) under uncultured bacterium. Its description in RNAcentral is "partial 16S ribosomal RNA". It matches the Rfam family "Bacterial small subunit ribosomal RNA", at positions 28 to 507 of the family's 1533-position model. The record is from RNAcentral.